Molecule: ribosomal RNA, 975 nt
Filed under: Triticum aestivum (bread wheat)
Lineage: Eukaryota; Viridiplantae; Streptophyta; Magnoliopsida; Poales; Poaceae
Description: partial small subunit ribosomal RNA
Source: RNAcentral
AUGAUGUACCCCGCGACGACCCGCUCGCCCGAGUUCCUCGGCCUGAGGAAGGACGCCGGCUUGUGGUCGAAAUCUAGCUACGGCAAAGGGAUCAUCAUCAGGGUGAUCAACUCCGGCAUCGAGUCGCGCCAUCCCUCGUUCGACGACGCCGGCAUGUCGCCACCGCCCGCCAGGUGGAAGGGCACGUGCACGGGCUUGGUCAGGCCCGUCCGGUGCAACAACAAGCUCAUUGGCGUCAGGUCCUUCGUGGACUACAACCCUGCCGACGUGACCGGCCACGGCAUGCACGUGGCGUCGAUUGCGGCGGGCAACUUCGUCGCCAACGCCUCGUCUUCCCACGGACUGGCCGCUGGGACGGCCGCCGGGAUCGCUCCCGGCGCACACCUGGCCGUGUACAAGGCCUGCAGACCUAGUGGGUGCCUCCGUUCGAAUAUAAUUCGUGCGAUUGACACGGCGGUGAGCGAUGGGGUCGACGUGAUCAACAUCUCCCUCGGCCGUAAACCGGGACUACCACUCGGAAGGGACGUUGUGGCCAUUGGCGCAUUUCGCGCGGUGGCCAAGGGUGUCGUCUUCGUGACUUCUGCUGGCAACGACGGCCCCGACCUGUCCACCGUCAAGAACGAAUCGCCGUGGAAGAUCACAGUGGGCGUCGGGUCGGUGGAUCGGAGCCUCUUCGCCGACCUUGUGCUAAAGUCGGGCGAGCUGGUCGAAGGAGAGGCGCUGGUGCAGGGGUCCAACUCGACCGCCUACCAACCCCUCCACUAUCCCGACGAUGGUAACAUGUGCAAGAAGGUGAGUGCCGACCGCAUGAGGGGCCACAUCGUGAUAUGCGACGAUGCGUUGGUUAACGUUGACACUCAGGCCCGCAUCAUCAAAAAUCUCUACGACAAUGGCGCAGCUCAAGUCGUGCUCAUCGGUCUGGAGAAAGCUGGUUUCACCUUGGGCUUCAGGGAGUAUGGCUCUUCCAUCGUGUAG